Molecule: ribosomal RNA, 383 nt
Filed under: uncultured eukaryote
Lineage: Eukaryota
Description: partial 18S ribosomal RNA
Rfam family: Eukaryotic small subunit ribosomal RNA
Source: RNAcentral
CAAGGGCGUAUAUUAAUGUUGUUGCAGUUAAAAAGCUCGUAGUUGGAUUUCUGGUGGGAGCGAUCGGUCUGGCGCUUAGCGCGAGUACUUGCAUCGUCUCCGGCCAUCCUUGGGGAGAGUCUGUCUGGCAUUAGGUUGUCGGGCAGAGGAUCCUCAUCGUUUACUGUGAAAAAAUUAGAGUGUUCAAAGCAGGCUUAUGCCGUUGAAUAUAUUAGCAUGGAAUAAUAAGAUAGGACUUUGGUACUAUUUUGUUGGUUUGCGCACCAAAGUAAUGAUUAAUAGGGACAGUUGGGGGUAUUCGUAUUCCGUUGUCAGAGGUGAAAUUCUUGGAUUUACGGAAGACGAACUACUGCGAAAGCAUUUACCAAGGAUGUUUUCAUUAA